AGCGAACGCUGGCGGCAGGCUUAACACAUGCAAGUCGAGCGGGCGUAGCAAUACGUCAGCGGCAGACGGGUGAGUAACGCGUGGGAACAUACCUUUUGGUUCGGAACAACACAGGGAAACUUGUGCUAAUACCGGAUAAGCCCUUACGGGGAAAGAUUUAUCGCCGAAAGAUUGGCCCGCGUCUGAUUAGCUAGUUGGUGAGGUAACGGCUCACCAAGGCGACGAUCAGUAGCNGGUCUGAGAGGAUGAUCAGCCACAUUGGGACUGAGACACGGCCCAAACUCCUACGGGAGGCAGCAGUGGGGAAUAUUGGACAAUGGGCGCAAGCCUGAUCCAGCCAUGCCGCGUGAGUGAUGAAGGCCCUAGGGUUGUAAAGCUCUUUUGUGCGGGAAGAUAAUGACGGUACCGCAAGAAUAAGUCCCGGCUAACUUCGUGCCAGCCGCCGCAGU
RNAcentral lists this ribosomal RNA (449 nucleotides) under uncultured bacterium. RNAcentral describes it as "bacterial SSU rRNA". It matches the Rfam family "Bacterial small subunit ribosomal RNA", at positions 29 to 521 of the family's 1533-position model. The record is from RNAcentral.